RNAcentral lists this transfer RNA (75 nucleotides) under Actinomycetes bacterium. RNAcentral's name for it is "tRNA-Cys". It matches the Rfam family "tRNA". From Rfam's summary of the family: Transfer RNA (tRNA) molecules are approximately 80 nucleotides in length. Their secondary structure includes four short double-helical elements and three loops (D, anti-codon, and T loops). Lineage: Bacteria; Bacillati; Actinomycetota; Actinomycetes. The record is from RNAcentral.
GGCGACGUAGCCAAGUGGUAAGGCAGGGGUCUGCAAAACCCCCAUACCCCGGUUCGAAUCCGGGCGUCGCCUCCA